AUUGAACGCUGGCGGCAUGCCUUACACAUGCAAGUCGAACGGCAGCACGGGAGUAAUCCUGGUGGCGAGUGGCGAACGGGUGAGUAAAGCAUCGGAACGUGCCCAGUCGUGGGGGAUAACGUAGCGAAAGCUACGCUAAUACCGCAUACGAUCUGUGGAUGAAAGCGGGGGACCGUAAGGCCUCGCGCGAUUGGAGCGGCCGAUGUCAGAUUAGGUAGUUGGUGAGGUAAAGGCUCACCAAGCCGACGAUCUGUAGCUGGUCUGAGAGGACGACCAGCCACACUGGGGCUGAGACACGGCCCAGACUCCUACGGGAGGCAGCAGUGGGGAAUUUUGGACAAUGGGCGGCAGCCUGAUCCAGCAAUGCCGCGUGGAGGAUUAAGGCCUUCGGGUUGUAAACUGCUUUUUUAAGGAGCGAAAAGGGUUCCCCUAAUACCGGGGGCUCAUGACGGUACCGUAAGAAUAAGCACCGGCUAACUACGUG
RNAcentral lists this ribosomal RNA (484 nucleotides) under uncultured bacterium. RNAcentral's name for it is "partial 16S ribosomal RNA". It matches the Rfam family "Bacterial small subunit ribosomal RNA", at positions 30 to 507 of the family's 1533-position model. The record is from RNAcentral.